RNAcentral lists this long non-coding RNA (5193 nucleotides) under Sus scrofa (pig). Its description in RNAcentral is "lncRNA (ENSSSCG00000056384.1)". The record is from RNAcentral. Lineage: Eukaryota; Metazoa; Chordata; Mammalia; Artiodactyla; Suidae.
AGUAUUUCCCGUUAUGACACAAUCUUUCAAUUACUUUAUUUCAUACCACUCGGCAUGUUGAGGAAGACAUGUUCCUCCAGAAAUAACUAUAAAAUGCUAGCUUUGGAUGUUUGUAAGAAGUCACUUAAUAGAUUAUCUUUUAAAAGAGCAAGAGGAAAAAGAGAAAUUUAGCAUAGAUGAGGUAAUUAUUUAUGAGCUCAAGAACUCCUCAUUGCAAGUGCUGGGUGCCGUUAUAACUAAGCCCUUGAAAGAUCCCUUUAAAUCAAUACAGUAAUUGGUCAUUCAGGGGAGAACAAACAUAUAACUAUAGGACAAAUGUGCAAGCAAAUUAUCCUAAUGUUAAAGCACAUAGAUUCUUGUAGUUGGGAUAAAUUUUCUAGGGAAAAUAUCCCUGGCAGAUUCAUAAACUGAUGGGACAUGACCUUGGAUACCUUUUGUAAGACUCAGAAAGCGGUUCCCUGCGGAUGAGAAUCCUGACAUCCAAGACUCAUAGGAGAAGUUUACGACAAAUCAUUUUCUGAAAUUGACAUGUGGAAAAAGAACAACACUUCUAAGCUGAUGUUUUAUGUAAUAUGUGAUUUCAAACAUGUAUGUUUAACAUUUUAAGUAAAUAGUUGACUCUUUUAUAUCUCUUUAAGUAUAUAUAUUCAAUUUGGCCUCAAACCUCUUUUAAUUUUGUCAUUGAAAAAAACGGGAGGUUGUGAUUGUAUAUCUGAACUGCCUUAUGUUUGUCAUGUGAUAAAUCAUGUCUAAUUUUUCUUCAUUAAAAACAACGUAGCAAUGAACAUCUUGGUAUGUGUUUCCUCCUACACAUGGCCAACAACGGGAAUUUCUCUCCUGUACAUGCCUAGAAGAAAAACCAGCACAUUGCUUUCUUACUCUUUGUGUUUAGAAUCCUGUGCUGCUUCUCAAAGGACAUUUUGUUUUCCAGGGGUCAAAGGACUACAGAGAAACAGGCUGAAAUCCUAAGGUUGCUCCACUCAGAAGCUGCUCUAAUAAGGGAGCCCUUUGCAGCACUGCUCUCCGAUGCCUCCGUCACUGUGUGUGAACCAGGGACCAGCCAAAGAUUCAAUCUCAAAGAGACAUUCGCAGGAAUGGGUCAUAGGUCAGCCACAGAGAUUCUGCCAUUUACCUUCGGUCCAUCUCUGCAGAGCAGGUUCCUCCUCAUUAGUAUGGAGUUCAGACCCCAGAACAAGAAGCAGGGCAUGGCCUCUGGGCACUCAAACCAGAGCGCUAAAGGUCUCGGCCAUUUCCAGAACACCGAGAAGCCUCAGGAGGAAAUGAGGCCUGGAUGGAGGUAAACCUUCCCCUGAUUAGGCUGAAGAGUGAAACUAACGGGGCAUUUGAGAAAGGAUAGAAGCCAUUUGUAACUUGGAGAAGGAGCAGAUCCAGAAGCCAAGCCAAGAGCGGAAAUGUGGCUCGGUUCUCCACGUGGUCACUCUUUUAAGUUUGCCCCUGGCUCACAUGCAAGCUCAGAGGUUGGCAUGGUUGAAGUCCCAUCAGCUUCAUUCAAUGCAUCAGGGAGCACAUAAGCCCACCAAAUUAGACGCCCCCCUUCCCCACAAAAAGUGCAACUCUAAGAUUUCUGGGAUAACUCAGGACCAACCAGCAAUCCAGAAAUUCAGUCAGAGGAUGUGAGUAGCAGAUUUACUCCUGGAUAGCUGCAGGGCAAGUGACUUCCCUUCUGAGCUUCAGUAUCCUGCUCUACAACGUGAGAAUAACCAUCCCCAUCCUAUGGGGUCAUUGUGAGGGUGGGAUGUCUUCAUGCAUGUGCGUGGACUGUUUUGUAGGAAGUGUUAGACACAAGGUAGCUGUUAGAUAUUCCUCUUUUCUUUUUAAAUAAUAACCAGAAACUAUGCUAAUAGGAAUGUGAGUAUCAAUACUACUACUAACGAUAUCCAUCGUGGAACAUUUAUUAUUCUCUUUCCUGGGCUAUGUCACCUCAUUCAACUGUCACAAGUUGGGUGUAUCGUGUCACAUUCACGUUGUAAAUGAGGAAACCCUGACUGAGCAGGUUAACUAACGUGCUCAAGAUGGCAGUGAGUGACUGGACCAACUCAAAACCAGAUUUGGCCAAAGCCAAGUCCCUUUUCUAGUCUGCUUUAGUAAACGACGUCAUAUGCACAUGGAAACGAUUGCUGCGGUCGAGCUAAUUACCAGAUCUCCUUACAUGGUUACCUUUUUGAGUGUGGUAACACCUGAGGUCGGUCGACUCUCUUAGCAAGUUUCUAGUAUUCAAUAUAAUAUUAAUAACUAUAUUCCCCAUGCUGUACAUUAAAUCUCUAGAUUUACACAUCCUACAUAACUCUGUACUAUUCCACAACUUACCCCAAUUUCCCCCACAUCUCUACCCCUGGUAACCACCAUUCUACUCUCUGCCUUUUUUUUUUUUUUUCUUUUAUGGCGGCACCUGCAGCAUAUGGAAGUUCCCAAGCUAGAGGUCAAAUCAGAACUGUAGCUGAGGCCUAUGCCACCGCCACAGCCACACCAGAUCCAAGCCACAUCUGUCAACUUUGCUUCGGCUUAGGGCAAUGCCAGACCCUUAACCCACCAAGUGUGGCCAGGGAUCAAACCUGUAUCCUCACAGAAAAAAAAAAAAAAUGUUGGGUCUUUAAUCUGAUGAGCCACAACAGGGAAUGCCUCUGCUUUUAUAUAUACAAUUCUUUUAAAGAUUCCACAUUUAAGUGAGAUCACGCAUUUUUUUCCUGUGUCUGGUUUACUUCCCUCAACAUAACGUCCUCUAGGUUCACUCAUGUUGCUGCAAAUACAAAGCCCCUUCUUCACCAUGACAGACCAAACUGCACAUCUUCACACACUGAAUAUAAGGUGGAGUGAGAGCAUCUCUGGGAGAAUCUGCCUUAUUCACACUGCCCCAAGAGUGGGACAAAAUUAGAAGUCUCUAAAUGAUGCUGGCUUUUUACAAUUUCCAAAUGAUGUGCAGUUGAGGGUUGCCCACCUGAAGUCUCUGGGCAGUUGAUUCCCCUCAUCUCUUCACUUCACAAACUCUGCAAACCCAACAGGGAAAACCGAUUAUUAAGUCUCUUGUUUUCAGGCAUGAUUGGAGUCUCCAAAUCAGGCCAGUCCUUGCCCCAUGAGACUGUCUCUCUCUCUCUCUCUCUCUCUCACCCAGAUGAGUAUGUGAGGAUUGGGGGCGGGGGAGCCUGUAAGAAUCAGUUGUUUCUACUGGCCUUUGAAAUGAGUGUGGGGCUUACAUUUAAAGGUGGAUCUGUCCAUCACACUAAAAUUUGACUUGAGGCCAAAGAAUGAAGUUCUCUGAAGUGAAUGGAUAUUGAGGCAACUGAAGACCGAUCUAUUUUUGCCUCCUCCCCAGUCUACUUCAUCCAUUCUACUUUCUGGACUUCUAAGCAGCUACCCUCCGCUGGGAAUCAAGGGCAUUGAAACACAAUCCUCACCAGCAAGUUAAUAUUUAGUGACAAUGGGACUAGUGCAGUGGUAGAGGGAGCACAGAGUGACAGCUCAGUUAUAAAAGCCAGUAGUUAUUCAGCUUGGCUCCCUACCAGGACCUAUGUGCCUCAUUUUUAAUUCUUAAAAAUCCAACAGGAUCGUUAUUGUCACAAAUUUGGAAACAGAGAUUCAGGUGAAAUGACUCAUCCAAGAUCAUGCAUUUAUGAAAUGGAAAGGAUGGGAUUUCAGUCCAGAUCAACCUAAUUCCAAAACCUGAUUUCUUAAUUUCUUUGUAAUACUGUGAAGAAAACAACAUGAAGGGAUACAAAUACUGCAAUCUGGGAAGUCUUCAUGAAGGAGGCAGCACCACGAGUCUGACAGGUAGAAGCAGUGAUCCAGGUCAAAGAGAUGGUAAAUGGCUUCCUGGACCUGGACUUGCUGAAGGACAAGUGGUGCCAGGGCCAGGAAGAGCCCAGGGUGGCAGAUUAAGAAGAUGGAGCUUGGCUCAGGAAGCCAUGAGAAGCCACCAGAUGAUUUCAAGAAAUUAUGUAUCUGGAUUUUAUUUUUUUAAUUAUUCUACAUGUUUUACUUUUCUUGCCUAAAAUUCAGCAAAAUAAAUUACAUUGUUAUAAUCAAGUUUUUCACAUAUGUUGUAUUUUAUGAACAGUAAUGCCAAAUUAGGUAACUCUUCUUGAAUCAACAUAGUUAAUUUUUUUUGUCUUUUUUUAGGGCUGCACCCAUGGCAUAUAGAAGUUCCCAGGCUAGGUGUCAAAUCAGAGUUUUGGCUGCUGGCCCAUGGCACAGCCACAGCAAUGCCAGGUCUGAGCCAUAUCUGCAACCUACACCACAGCUCACUGCAAUGCCAGAUCUUUAACCCACUGAGUGAGGCCAGGGAUUGAACCCGCAUCCUCAUGGAAACUAGUCAGAUUUGCUACCUCUGAGCCACAACAGGAAUUCCAAUGUAGCUAAAUUUUUAUUCAUUUAAUUUUAGAGAAAUCUGACUGUCCAAAGCAAAUGAAAUUGUCAGUAAAAUUCUUUAUGGAACACAUAUACUCAGAUGUAAACUGCGAAUUUAGCAUAUCAUGUUCAAACUUUGUAAUGAGAUUCCCAAACUUAUUGUUACCAGAGCAAAUGUUACAAAGUUUUUAUUGCAUCGUAUAAAUUGAUGUCACUCAUAUGCUUAUUUUCACCCUUUCUUUUUUAUCAAAGUAUAGUUGAUGUUACAGUUGUACAAAUAUUGAUUCACAAAAUAUUGGCUGUAUUCCCUGCAUUGUACAAUAUAUCCUGCUAGCUCGUUUUAUACCUAAUAGUUUGUAUCACUUAAUACUCACCCCUGUAUUGUGUCCCCCACUGGUAACCACUAGUUUGCUCUUCCUAUCUGUGAGUUUGAUUAUUUUUUGUUAUAUUCACUGGUUUGUUGAAAGAAACCAUCAACAACCUACGGAAUGGCAGAAAAUACUGGCGAAUGAUAGGCUCUAUAAGGAGUUAAUGUCGAAAAUAUAUAAACAGCCCAUAUAACUCAAUGUCAAAAAAACAAAAACCCAAUUGAAAAAUGGGCGGAAGACCUAAAUUGACAUUUUUCCAAAGAGGACAUGCAUACGGCCAACAUGCACAUAAAAGAUGAUCAGCAGCUCUAAUCAUUAAGAAAAUGCAAAUCAAAACCACAAUGAGACAUAACCUCACACCUGUCAGAACGGCUAUCAUCAAAAAGACCACAAAUAAUGAAUGUUGGUGAGCACGUGAAGAAAAGGGAACUGUGUACAUGGUUGGUGGGAAUGUAAAUUGGUG